Small nuclear RNA from Nomascus leucogenys (northern white-cheeked gibbon), 108 nucleotides. The record is from Ensembl. NCBI's taxonomy places the organism in Eukaryota, Metazoa, Chordata, Mammalia, Primates, Hylobatidae.
GUGCUCCCUUCAGCAGCACAUAUACUAAAAUUGGAAUGAUACAGAGAAGAUUAGCAUGGCCCCCUGCACAAGGAUGACAUGCAAAUUCAUGAAGCGUUCCAUAUUUUG